Molecule: ribosomal RNA, 2918 nt
Filed under: Cyanidium caldarium
Lineage: Eukaryota; Rhodophyta; Bangiophyceae; Cyanidiales; Cyanidiaceae
Description: bacterial LSU rRNA
Rfam family: Bacterial large subunit ribosomal RNA
Source: RNAcentral
UAGUUAAGCGAAAGUAAAGUUUACGGUGGAUACCUUGGUGUUUAGAAGCGAUGAAGGGCGUGGCUACCAACGAAAUGCUUCGGGAAGCUGGAAGCAAGCUUUGAUCCGGAGAAUCCCGAAUGAGGAAACUCUUUAAUACUUCUUUCAAAUACAUAAGAAAGAAAGAGCAAACCUAGUGAACUGAAACAUCUUAGUAACUAGAGGAAAAGAAAGCAAAAGCGAUUCCCCCAGUAGUGGCGAGCGAAAAGGGAACAGCCUAAACCGUUGUUUUACAACGGGGUAAUGGGACAACACAAACAAAAUAAACUAGAUUAGUUGAAUUGGUUGGAAUCCCAAGCGAUACAAGGUGACAGCCCUGUAAACGAAAAUCAAUUUUAUUUUUAGUUGAAUCCCGAGUAGUAUGGGGCACGAGAAAUCCCGUAUGAAUUCGCGAGGACCACCUCGUAAGGCUAAAUAUUCCUAAACAACCGAUAGUGAAACAGUACCGUGAGGGAAAGGUGAAAAGAACCUCGGGAGAGGAGUGAAAUAGAACAUGAAACCGUAAACUUACAAGCAGUGGGAGGACGACUUAACGUCUGACCUCGUGCCUGUUGAAGAAUGAGCCGGCGACUUAUGUGCAGUGGCAGGUUAAGGCAAAGAAUGCCGAAGCCAUAGUGAAAGCGAGCUUAAAAAGGCAUAAGUCACUGUGCAUAGACCCGAACCCGAAUGAUCUAACCAUGACCAGGGUGAAGCUUAGGUAACACUAAGUGGAGGUCCGAACCGACUAAUGUUGAAAAAUUAGCGGAUGAGUUGUGGUUAGUGGUGAAAUGCCAAUCGAAUUCGGAGCUAGCUGGUUCUCCCCGAAAUGUGUUGAGGCACAGCAGUCAAAAUAAGUGUGUUAGGGGUAAAGCACUGUUUUGUUGAGGGCUAUGAGAAUAGUACCAAAUCAAGGCAAACUCUGAAUACUAAAUACAUAAUUUGACUAGUCAGACAGUGGGGGAUAAGCUCCAUUGUCAAGAGGGAAACAGCCCAGAUCACUAGCUAAGGCCCCUAAAUAGUUGCUAAGUGUAAAAGGAAGUGAGAACGCAUAGACAACCAGGAGGUUCGCUUAGAAGCAGCAAUCCUUUUAAAAGUGCGUAAUAGCUUACUGGUCAAGUGAUCUUGCACCGAAAAUUUUAGGGACUAAGCAACUUGCCGAAGCUGUGAGAUGUUUGUAUUUUGGCUUUUAAUAAGCAAAAAAUAUAAAACAUCGGUAGGGGAGCGUUCCGUAGUAGUUUGAAGCGUUAGCGAAAGUGAACGUGGACAAAUCGGAAGUGAGAAUGUCGGCUUAAGUAACGAAAACAUUGGUGAGAAUCCAAUGCCCCGAAAAUCUAAGGUUUCCUUUGGAAGGUUCGUCCGCAAAGGGUAAGUCAGAGCCUAAGGCAAGGCUGAAAAGCGUAGCUAAUGGACAACGGGUUAAUAUUCCCGUACCACUUAUUAUUGGCAGUGGGGGACAAAGAAGGCUAGAUUGUCCGGAAGUUGGUUACCGGUUUAAAUGUUAUAAGCGAUGAAAGAUGGAGAAAACAUCUAGAGCAAAAGCAUGAAUACAAAGUGUCUUUGACACUAAAGCAAUUCACGCCAUACUUUCAAGAAAAGCCCUAAUAGCUAAGUAAAAAAUGAUAAGUGUCUGUACCUUAAACCGACACAGGUAGAUAAGUAGAGAAUACUAAGGGGCGCGAGAUAACUCUCUCUAAGGAACUCGGCAAAAUAGCCUCGUAACUUCGGAAAAAGAGGUGCCUUUCUUAAAGGCUGCAAUAGCAAAACUCAAACGACUGUUUAUCAAAAACACAGGUCUCCGCUAAGUCGUAAGACGAUGUAUGGGGGCUGACGCCUGCCCAGUGCCGGAAGGUUAAAGAAGUUGGUCAGCUUUACAGCAAAGCUAGCAACCGAAGCCCCGGUGAACGGCGGCCGUAACUAUAACGGUCCUAAGGUAGCGAAAUUCCUUGUCGGGUAAGUUCCGACCCGCACGAAUGGCGUAACGAUUUGAGUGCUGUCUCAGAGAGAGACUCGGUGAAAUAGACUUGUCCGUGAAGAUGCGGACUACCUGCACCUGGACAGAAAGACCCUAUGAAGCUUUACUGUAGCUUGAGAUUGAAUUUGAGUUUUUUCUGCGCAGAAUAAGUGGGAGACAAAGAGACCGUUUUUGUGGAAGCGGAGGAGUCGCAAGUGAGAUACCACUCUUAAAAAACUAAAAUUCUAACCUUAAGUCAAUCAUUACUGGCUAAGGAACAUUCUCUGGUGGGCAGUUUGACUGGGGCGGUCGCCUCCUAAAAGGUAACGGAGGCGCGCAAAGGUUUCCUCAAACUGGUCAGAAAUCAGUUGUAGAGUGCAAAGGCAUAAGGAAGCUUAACUGUAAGACUUACAAGUCAAGCAGAGACGAAAGUCGGCCUUAGUGAUCCGACGGCCCUGAGUGGAAAGACCGUCGCUCAACGGAUAAAAGUUACUCUAGGGAUAACAGGCUGAUCUCCCCCAAGAGUUCACAUCGACGGGGAGGUUUGGCACCUCGAUGUCGGCUCAUCGCAACCUGGGGCGGAAGUACGUCCCAAGGGUUGGGCUGUUCGCCCAUAAAAGCGGUACGUGAGCUGGGUUCAGAACGUCGUGAGACAGUUCGGUCCAUAUCCGGUGUAGGCGUAAGAGCAUUGAGAGGCGCUCUUUCUAGUACGAGAGGACCGAAAGAGACACACCGCUGGUGUACCAGUUAUUAUGCCAAUAGUAAACGCUGGGUAGCUAUGUGUGGAAAAGAUAACCGCUGAAAGCAUCUAAGUGGGAAGCUAACCUCAAGAUGAGUGCUCUGCCUUUUGAAGGUAAGGUCACAGUUAGACUAACUGUUUAAUAGGCGUUAAGUGUAAGUGCAGCAAUGCAUUCAGCUAAGGCGUACUAAUAGACCGAAAGCUUAAUAA